AACGAACGCUGGCGGCAUGCCUAACACUUGCAAGUCGAACGAGACCUUCGGGUCUAGUUGCGCACGGGUGCGUAACGCGUGGGAACCUGCCCUUAGGUUCGGAAUAACUCCCCGUAAGGGGUGCUAAUACCGGAUAACGUCUUCGGACCAAAGAUUGAUCGCCUUUGGAUGGGCCCGCGUUGGUUUAGCUAGUUGGUAGGGUAAAAGCCUACCAAGGCGACGAUCCAUAGCUGGUCUGAGAGGAAGAGCAGCCACACUUGGGCUGAGACACGGCCCAGACUCCUACGCGAGGCAGGAGUGGGGAAUACUGGACAAUGGGCGAAGGCCUGAUGCAGCAAGGCCGGGUAAGUGAUGAAGGCCUUAGGGUAGUAAAGCUCUUUUACCCGGGAUGAUAAUGACAGUACCGGGAGAAUAAGCUCCGGCUAACUCCGUG
This 433-nucleotide ribosomal RNA is filed under the name uncultured bacterium. RNAcentral describes it as "partial 16S ribosomal RNA". It matches the Rfam family "Bacterial small subunit ribosomal RNA", at positions 29 to 507 of the family's 1533-position model. The record is from RNAcentral.